This 73-nucleotide transfer RNA is filed under the name Ibidoecus plataleae. RNAcentral describes it as "tRNA-Ala". The record is from RNAcentral. Lineage: Eukaryota; Metazoa; Arthropoda; Insecta; Psocodea; Philopteridae.
GGUACCUCUACAAUUUGUAGAGAUAAACUCCCUGCAAAGGAGCUAAUUUAGUACCCCUUUUUAUCAGGCACCU